AGUGAACGCUGGCGAUAGGCCUAACACAUGCAAGUCGAACGGCAGCACAGUAAGAGCUUGCUCUUACGGGUGGCGAGUGGCGGACGGGUGAGGAAUACAUCGGAAUCUACUUUUUCGUGGGGGAUAACGUAGGGAAACUUACGCUAAUACCGCAUACGACCUACGGGUGAAAGCAGGGGAUCUUCUGACCUUGCGCGAUUGAAUGAGCCGAUGUCGGAUUAGCUAGUUGGCGGGGUAAAGGCCCACCAAGGCGACGAUCCGUAGCUGGUCUGAGAGGAUGAUCAGCCACACUGGAACUGAGAAACGGUCCAGACUCCUACGGGAGGCAGCAGUGGGGAAUAUUGGACAAUGGGCGCAAGCCUGAUCCAGCCAUACCGCGUGGGUGAAGAAGGCCUUCGGGUUGUAAAGCCCUUUUGUUGGGAAAGAAAAGCAGCAGGUUAAUACCCCGCUGUUCUGACGGUACCCAAAGAAUAAGCACCGGCUAACUUCGUG
RNAcentral lists this ribosomal RNA (492 nucleotides) under uncultured bacterium. RNAcentral's name for it is "partial 16S ribosomal RNA". It matches the Rfam family "Bacterial small subunit ribosomal RNA", at positions 29 to 507 of the family's 1533-position model. The record is from RNAcentral.